This 538-nucleotide ribosomal RNA is filed under the name Rhodococcus sp. XE1. Its description in RNAcentral is "bacterial SSU rRNA". It matches the Rfam family "Bacterial small subunit ribosomal RNA", at positions 337 to 891 of the family's 1533-position model. The record is from RNAcentral. Lineage: Bacteria; Bacillati; Actinomycetota; Actinomycetes; Mycobacteriales; Nocardiaceae.
UCCUACGGGGAGGCAGCAGUGGGGAAUAUUGCACAAUGGGCGAAAGCCUGAUGCAGCGACGCCGCGUGAGGGAUGACGGCCUUCGGGUUGUAAACCUCUUUCAGCAGGGACGAAGCGCAAGUGACGGUACCUGCAGAAGAAGCACCGGCCAACUACGUGCCAGCAGCCGCGGUAAUACGUAGGGUGCGAGCGUUGUCCGGAAUUACUGGGCGUAAAGAGCUCGUAGGCGGUUUGUCGCGUCGUCUGUGAAAACCCGCAGCUCAACUGCGGGCUUGCAGGCGAUACGGGCAGACUUGAGUACUGCAGGGGAGACUGGAAUUCCUGGUGUAGCGGUGAAAUGCGCAGAUAUCAGGAGGAACACCGGUGGCGAAGGCGGGUCUCUGGGCAGUAACUGACGCUGAGGAGCGAAAGCGUGGGUAGCGAACAGGAUUAGAUACCCUGGUAGUCCACGCCGUAAACGGUGGGCGCUAGGUGUGGGUUUCCUUCCACGGGAUCCGUGCCGUAGCUAACGCAUAAGCGCCCCGCCUGAGAGCCCCAA